Molecule: long non-coding RNA, 648 nt
Filed under: Phaseolus vulgaris (common bean)
Lineage: Eukaryota; Viridiplantae; Streptophyta; Magnoliopsida; Fabales; Fabaceae
Description: long non-coding RNA (PVUL_LNC004700)
Source: RNAcentral
AAAAACCCUAUUUAUGUCCACUCUUGGGAACUUUGGGACAAAUUGCACAACUUCUUCAAUGCGUGCAUCCAAGACAAGAGGCAUGUCAAUAACGUGUUGAAUUGUGAAAUGCAAAGAAAAGAGGUAAAAUCAUUCCUAAAUAUCUUCUUCAUUUUAAGGCCUCAAUUCAAUCAUUUGUUUCCAUUAGUGACCUUGUAUCCUAUCAAGAUCAUCUCAAUGCAAUUCUUGGAGAACGGCAUAACUUGGGUGAAUAUGAAACAAUCAUUUCUUUUACUGGAAUCAAAUUUGAUCUAUUUGCAGCGGAUGAGAUUGCCGCAAUUUUGCUCGCUCGUGAAGAAAGAAUAGAAAAUUUCCAGCAAGAACUUAUUGAUUCAGUCUCAAUAAACCUUAGUCUUGUUAGAUGACUACUGCUUAGAAUGACUUUGGACCUAAUGUUCAUUGCUUUCAUGUUGCCAUGAUUAUUUUUAAUUUGAAAUUACAGCUGUACACAGACAAAUCUGUCGGUUAGACUAUCAUUGGUAUUUAAUUCAAUGUUCGAUUUUAUUAUUACCAUUUCGUUAGAUGUUUCAAUUUCUUGCAACUGUUCUUGUAAAUAUUUGUAUUGUGUGUCAGUUGUGAAACUUCUAUUGGCUAUUUAAUGAGAAUGGC